RNAcentral lists this ribosomal RNA (684 nucleotides) under Salmonella enterica subsp. enterica serovar Anatum. RNAcentral's name for it is "partial 23S ribosomal RNA". It matches the Rfam family "Bacterial large subunit ribosomal RNA", at positions 2259 to 2925 of the family's 2925-position model. The record is from RNAcentral. Lineage: Bacteria; Pseudomonadati; Pseudomonadota; Gammaproteobacteria; Enterobacterales; Enterobacteriaceae.
UGGUGGGUAGUUUGACUGGGGCGGUCUCCUCCUAAAGAGUAACGGAGGAGCACGAAGGUUGGCUAAUCCUGGUCGGACAUCAGGAGGUUAGUGCAAUGGCAUAAGCCAGCUUGACUGCGAGCGUGACGGCGCGAGCAGGUGCGAAAGCAGGUCAUAGUGAUCCGGUGGUUCUGAAUGGAAGGGCCAUCGCUCAACGGAUAAAAGGUACUCCGGGGAUAACAGGCUGAUACCGCCCAAGAGUUCAUAUCGACGGCGGUGUUUGGCACCUCGAUGUCGGCUCAUCACAUCCUGGGGCUGAAGUAGGUCCCAAGGGUAUGGCUGUUCGCCAUUUAAAGUGGUACGCGAGCUGGGUUUAGAACGUCGUGAGACAGUUCGGUCCCUAUCUGCCGUGGGCGCUGGAGAACUGAGGGGGGCUGCUCCUAGUACGAGAGGACCGGAGUGGACGCAUCACUGGUGUUCGGGUUGUCAUGCCAAUGGCACUGCUCGGUAGCUAAAUGCGGAAGAGAUAAGUGCUGAAAGCAUCUAAGCACGAAACUUGCCCCGAGAUGAGUUCUCCCUGAGACUUAGAGUCUCCUGAAGGAACGUUGAAGACGACGACGUUGAUAGGCCGGGUGUGUAAGCGCAGCGAUGCGUUGAGCUAACCGGUACUAAUGAACCGUGAGGCUUAACCUUACAACGCCGAAG